This 1194-nucleotide ribosomal RNA is filed under the name Escherichia coli. RNAcentral's name for it is "partial 23S ribosomal RNA". It matches the Rfam family "Bacterial large subunit ribosomal RNA", at positions 1 to 1226 of the family's 2925-position model. The record is from RNAcentral. Lineage: Bacteria; Pseudomonadati; Pseudomonadota; Gammaproteobacteria; Enterobacterales; Enterobacteriaceae.
GGGUUGUGAGGUUAAGCGACUAAGCGUACACGGUGGAUGCCCUGGCAGUCAGAGGCGAUGAAGGACGUGCUAAUCUGCGAUAAGCGUCGGUAAGGUGAUAUGAACCGUUAUAACCGGCGAUUUCCGAAUGGGGAAACCCAGUGUGUUUCGACACACUAUCAUUAACUGAAUCCAUAGGUUAAUGAGGCGAACCGGGGGAACUGAAACAUCUAAGUACCCCGAGGAAAAGAAAUCAACCGAGAUUCCCCCAGUAGCGGCGAGCGAACGGGGAGCAGCCCAGAGCCUGAAUCAGUGUGUGUGUUAGUGGAAGCGUCUGGAAAGGCGCGCGAUACAGGGUGACAGCCCCGUACACAAAAAUGCACAUGCUGUGAGCUCGAUGAGUAGGGCGGGACACGUGGUAUCCUGUCUGAAUAUGGGGGGACCAUCCUCCAAGGCUAAAUACUCCUGACUGACCGAUAGUGAACCAGUACCGUGAGGGAAAGGCGAAAAGAACCCCGGCGAGGGGAGUGAAAAAGAACCUGAAACCGUGUACGUACAAGCAGUGGGAGCACGCUUAGGCGUGUGACUGCGUACCUUUUGUAUAAUGGGUCAGCGACUUAUAUUCUGUAGCAAGGUUAACCGAAUAGGGGAGCCGAAGGGAAACCGAGUCUUAACUGGGCGUUAAGUUGCAGGGUAUAGACCCGAAACCCGGUGAUCUAGCCAUGGGCAGGUUGAAGGUUGGGUAACACUAACUGGAGGACCGAACCGACUAAUGUUGAAAAAUUAGCGGAUGACUUGUGGCUGGGGGUGAAAGGCCAAUCAAACCGGGAGAUAGCUGGUUCUCCCCGAAAGCUAUUUAGGUAGCGCCUCGUGAAUUCAUCUCCGGGGGUAGAGCACUGUUUCGGCAAGGGGGUCAUCCCGACUUACCAACCCGAUGCAAACUGCGAAUACCGGAGAAUGUUAUCACGGGAGACACACGGCGGGUGCUAACGUCCGUCGUGAAGAGGGAAACAACCCAGACCGCCAGCUAAGGUCCCAAAGUCAUGGUUAAGUGGGAAACGAUGUGGGAAGGCCCAGACAGCCAGGAUGUUGGCUUAGAAGCAGCCAUCAUUUAAAGAAAGCGUAAUAGCUCACUGGUCGAGUCGGCCUGCGCGGAAGAUGUAACGGGGCUAAACCAUGCACCGAAGCUGCGGCAGCGACGCUUAUGCGUUGUUG